Molecule: ribosomal RNA, 253 nt
Filed under: uncultured bacterium
Lineage: Bacteria
Description: partial 16S ribosomal RNA
Rfam family: Bacterial small subunit ribosomal RNA
Source: RNAcentral
UACGUAGGGGGCAAGCGUUGUCCGGAAUCAUUGGGCGUAAAGAGCGUGUAGGCGGUUCGGUAAGUCGGCUGUGAAAGUCCAGGGCUCAACCCUGGGAUGCCGGUCGAUACUGCCGGACUAGAGUUCGGAAGAGGCGAGUGGAAUUCCCGGUGUAGCGGUGAAAUGCGCAGAUAUCUGGAGGAACACCGGUGGCGAAGGCGGCAUCCUGGACCGAGACUGACGCUGAGGAGCGAAAGCCAGGGGAGCAAACGGG